RNAcentral lists this unclassified non-coding RNA (161 nucleotides) under uncultured fungus. RNAcentral describes it as "sequence contains ITS1, 5.8S rRNA gene". The record is from RNAcentral. Lineage: Eukaryota; Fungi.
ACGAGUAAGCCUGUUCAUUGCAGGUGCUCUCCCACCCUUGUCAAACUGCUGCGUUUCUUCGGCGGGCCGCAUCGUUGAUGCCGUCGGUUUUACGGACGAGCGUCCGCCGAUCAACAUUUUAACUCAAAUGUCGUGUCGUCUGAUUCAAACAGAAAUAAUCA